Molecule: microRNA precursor, 87 nt
Filed under: Helianthus annuus (common sunflower)
Lineage: Eukaryota; Viridiplantae; Streptophyta; Magnoliopsida; Asterales; Asteraceae
Description: sRNA HanXRQr2_Chr03g0126341
Rfam family: mir-156 microRNA precursor family
About the family: This family represents the plant microRNA (miRNA) precursor mir-156. Animal miRNAs are transcribed as ~70nt precursors and subsequently processed by the Dicer enzyme to give a ~22nt product. In plants the precursor sequences may be longer, and the carpel factory (caf) enzyme appears to be involved in processing.
Source: Rfam by way of RNAcentral
UUGACAGAAGAGAGUGAGCACACAAAGUCAAAUUAUACCAAAGUGAGUUGUAUGAUUGUUUUGGGUGCUCACUGCUCUAUCUGUCAU